RNAcentral lists this ribosomal RNA (460 nucleotides) under uncultured bacterium. RNAcentral's name for it is "partial 16S ribosomal RNA". It matches the Rfam family "Bacterial small subunit ribosomal RNA", at positions 338 to 795 of the family's 1533-position model. The record is from RNAcentral.
CCUACGGGUGGCAGCAGUGAGGAAUAUUGGUCAAUGGGCGCGAGCCUGAACCAGCCAAGUCGCGUGAGGGAUGACGGCCCUACGGGUUGUAAACCUCUUUUGCCGGGGAGCAACGGGCGCCACGUGUGGCGCCACUGAGAGUACCCGGAGAAAAAGCAUCGGCAAACUCCGUGCCAGCCGGCGCGGUAAUACGGAGGAUGCGAGCGUUAUCCGGAUUUAGUGGGUUUAGGGGGUGCGUAGGCGGGCUUUUAAGUCAGCGGAAAAUAUUCGGCGCUCCAACCCGUCCGGCCGUUGAAACUGGGUGCCUUGAGUGGGCGAGAAGAAGGCGGAAUGCGUGGUGUAGCGGUGAAAUGCAUAGAUAUCACGCAGAACCCCGAUUGCGAAGGCAGCCUUCCGGCGCCCUACUGACGCUGAGGCACGAAAGUGCGGGGAUCGAACAGGAUUAGAUACCCUUGUAGUC